This 585-nucleotide ribosomal RNA is filed under the name uncultured Pseudomonas sp. Its description in RNAcentral is "bacterial SSU rRNA". It matches the Rfam family "Bacterial small subunit ribosomal RNA", at positions 102 to 683 of the family's 1533-position model. Lineage: Bacteria; Pseudomonadati; Pseudomonadota; Gammaproteobacteria; Pseudomonadales; Pseudomonadaceae. The record is from RNAcentral.
ACGGGUGAGUAAUGCCUAGGAAUCUGCCUGGUAGUGGGGGAUAACGUUCGGAAACGGACGCUAAUACCGCAUACGUCCUACGGGAGAAAGCAGGGGACCUUAUGGCCUUGCGCUAUCAGAUGAGCCUAGGUCGGAUUAGCUAGUUGGUGAGGUAAUGGCUCACCAAGGCGACGAUCCGUAACUGGUCUGAGAGGAUGAUCAGUCACACUGGAACUGAGACACGGUCCAGACUCCUACGGGAGGCAGCGGUGGGGAAUAUUGGACAAUGGGCGAAAGCCUGAUCCAGCCAUGCCGCGUGUGUGAAGAAGGUCUUCGGAUUGUAAAGCACUUUAAGUUGGGAGGAAGGGCAGUUACCUAAUACGUGAUUGUUUUGACGUUACCGACAGAAUAAGCACCGGCUAACUCUGUGCCAGCAGCCGCGGUAAUACAGAGGGUGCAAGCGUUAAUCGGAAUUACUGGGCGUAAAGCGCGCGUAGGUGGUUUGUUAAGUUGGAUGUGAAAUCCCCGGGCUCAACCUGGGAACUGCAUUCAAAACUGACUGACUAGAGUAUGGUAGAGGGUGGUGGAAUUUCCUGUGUAGCGGUG